RNAcentral lists this ribosomal RNA (697 nucleotides) under uncultured bacterium. RNAcentral's name for it is "bacterial SSU rRNA". It matches the Rfam family "Bacterial small subunit ribosomal RNA", at positions 51 to 737 of the family's 1533-position model. The record is from RNAcentral.
ACACAUGCAAGUCGAGGGGCAGCAUGGUCUUAGCUUGCUAAGGCCGAUGGCGACCGGCGCACGGGUGAGUAACGCGUAUCCAACCUGCCUUACACUCUUGGACAGCCUUCUGAAAGGGAGAUUAAUACAAGAUGUUAUCAUGAGUAAGCAUUUUCGCAUGAUUAAAGGUUUACCGGUGUAAGAUGGGGAUGCGUUCCAUUAGAUAGUAGGCGGGGUAACGGCCCACCUAGUCUUCGAUGGAUAGGGGUUCUGAGAGGAAGGUCCCCCACAUUGGAACUGAGACACGGUCCAAACUCCUACGGGAGGCAGCAGUGAGGAAUAUUGGUCAAUGGACGAGAGUCUGAACCAGCCAAGUAGCGUGAAGGAUGAAGGUUCUAUGGAUUGUAAACUUCUUUUAUACGGGAAUAAACGAAUCCACGCGUGGGUUUUUGCAUGUACCGUAUGAAUAAGGAUCGGCUAACUCCGUGCCAGCAGCCGCGGUAAUACGGAGGAUCCGAGCGUUAUCCGGAUUUAUUGGGUUUAAAGGGAGCGUAGAUGGGUUGUUAAGUCAGUUGUGAAAGUUUGCGGCUCAACCGUAAAAUUGCAAUUGAUACUGGCAGUCUUGAGUACAGUUGAGGUAGGCGGAAUUCGUGGUGUAGCGGUGAAAUGCUUAGAUAUCACGAAGAACUCCGAUUGCGAAGGCAGCUUACUAACCUGU